GAUGAAGAACGUAGCGAACUGCGAUAAGUAAUGUGAAUUGCAGAAUUCAGUGAAUCAUCGAGUCUUUGAACGCACAUUGCGCCCCCUGGCAUUCCGGGGGGCAUGCCUGUCCGAGCGUCAUUGCUGCCCUUCAAGCCCGGCUUGUGUGUUGGGUCGUCGUCCCCCCCGGGGGACGGGCCCGAAAGGCAGCGGCGGCACCGCGUCCGGUCCUCAAGCGUAUGGGGCUUUGUCACCCGCUCGAUUAGGGCCGGCCGGGCGCCAGCCGGCGUCUCCAACCUUCUAUUUUACCAGGUUGACCUCGGAUCAGGUAGGGAUACCCGCUGAACUUAAGCAUAUCAAUAAGCGGAGGA
This 350-nucleotide unclassified non-coding RNA is filed under the name soil metagenome. RNAcentral's name for it is "partial contains 5.8S ribosomal RNA, internal transcribed spacer 2, and large subunit ribosomal RNA". The stretch from base 1 to 120 matches the Rfam family "5.8S ribosomal RNA", at positions 35 to 154 of the family's 154-position model. The record is from RNAcentral.